GGAGCCUCGGGACAGAGCACAGGUGGUGCACCCUUGGGGAAAACUUAAAGUCAGUGCCUACGUGGGAAAGGAGCCUGAGCAGAGGAAUAGAGACAUACCUUAAUAUGUCAAACCACCCCUGAACCCUACCUCCACUGUACAACUCCACAGUGGCUGGGAUCCCCCCUGAACAUACCAACAAUAAGAAAAAGUCAAGGCCACAUGGAGUUGAUUCCCUACUAAAUUACUCAUCUCUGAAAACCAGGGACCAUAAGGACACCUUUCAUGUGUGGAUAGCGUCAUGAACACAGAUCUCUGCCACAACUGAGCUCAGAGUGGAAUUGUAAAAUGGAUUUCAAUCAUUCAGAAACAAACUCUGUCCUGCAGAAUUUUCUUGAGAUGUAUGUGGAAGAGAGGAAAAGCAUUAGACUCAAUAAUUUCACCAGCCCGGCCUUGAAGGAGCAAGAGGAGAUAACGGCCUCUUUUUACAUCCUUAUCAUCGUUGGAUUUUUUGGCUUCCUCCUUUUCUCCCUGAUGAUCAGCAAUAUUGUUUCCAACAAGCCUGAAAACUACAUUGACUAUCUCUAUUCUGGGAAGUUUAACAGCCAGGGAAAUGAAAGAGGACUUCAGAGAAAAGAAAGCAAAGACACAUUGGUAACGAUUAGCGACGAAGUGAUGGUGGACCCCAGCAACACUAGGGAACGGCAAAAAACUGACAGUAAUAACAACGAGCUUGAGACGCCAAACCAAGAAGCAGUUCAGAGAAAUGUAUGAAAGAGCAUUGAUGGGCCUUUUUUAAAGAAGGAACAGGAAUCAAAGAGUGAUUUUAUUGUUCACGAAAGUGAGAUACUGGUAGCACUGUCUAGUGUCAGGACAUAGCCCAGCCCGGUAUUGUGCAAGCUUCCCCUAUGCAGCUGUGAAAGCACCUCCACAGUCCUGAAGUGCAACAUAAUGCCCCUGUGCUGCCAGUGCUGGGUCUGUGCAGACGUGACUGGAAAUCAAGUCCCAACUCGUGUGACUCUUUUAUAUUCUCUUUUCUAAUGUGUUUUUAUAAUGCGUCUCUCAAAAGAACGAAACGCCUCCCUCCUUUAUGCUCCUGUCUUGUCACUGCAUGCACUAGUGGUUUUUCUAGCCGUGUUGGCAUUAUUAUUAUUAUUGUUCGUCAUUUAUUUAUUUGGUUAGCAUCAACCAUCUCUUCAUGGCUGUAUGCUAUACAAAAAUAAAGACCACCAA
Molecule: long non-coding RNA, 1212 nt
Organism: Dermochelys coriacea (leatherback sea turtle)
Lineage: Eukaryota; Metazoa; Chordata; Testudines; Dermochelyidae
Exons: 3
Source: RefSeq, a predicted model, not a curated record